AAUGUACUAUUUCGACCUCCUGAAUUGUGAGAAUGUGGUGCUUGUCUUUGUCUAGUGAAUUGACUAAAUAUUUUUGAGUUUGGGGUUGUUGAUCAAUAAAACAAACAAUUUAAACACCAUUCCCAUCCUGGGCUUUAGGGACUUUUUGUCAGUUGAUCUUGUACUCAAUUUUGCCCUUAGCUUGUGUUAACCCCUUAACGCCUAUUGUCGCGAAUUCGCCUCAAACCGCUUCUAUUAAAAAUGCAGCCGAGAUCGUGCAUGUGUUCCCCCAAUGCCGGUUCAUGUCUCUUCGAUACGGACCUAGGAACGUUUUGCAAGCACUAGUUUCUCGUAGGACCGGUCAAAGAGUGGGAACUUACACCCGGUCGACGAAGGCGGGCAUAUCCGGUUAGACGCUAACGAGUGGAGAAAGCAAUACGAAAUAUACGGUCCUAUUUGAGGUGAUGAAAGCAGCAGCAGCAGCAGCAGUGAUGACAGUGGCAGCACUGAUGGAGACUCUGAUGCGGUCCCUAGCACCAGUUCUGCAGCUACUGCUGCGAGAGCACCUACUACAACCUUAGCUGUUUUGUUCUUGUUAUUGUUAUUGUUUUCAUUGUUAUAAUGAAUGGUUAAUGAUGUCAUGAGUUUUUGACAGCUGAGUUCAUGAGUAAGACAGCUCGGCACAUCCUUUGUUCUCUCUAAGUGUUUUCUCGUUCUCUCUCUCACACACACACACACACACACACACACACACACACACACACACACACACACACACACACACACACACACACACACUCUCUCUCUAUUACACACAGUUCUACAUGCUGUUUUUUUAUUGUUGUUUUGUUGUCAUUGUCAUGAGUUUUGCAUGUCUGUUGACAUAUUGUCAUGAAAUUAAUACUAUUUUAAUUUAAAUUAUAUGUUGGCAUCAAUAAAAUGAAUUACAUGCCUGA
Molecule: long non-coding RNA, 935 nt
Organism: Eleginops maclovinus (Patagonian blennie)
Lineage: Eukaryota; Metazoa; Chordata; Actinopteri; Perciformes; Eleginopidae
Exons: 2
Source: RefSeq, a predicted model, not a curated record